CGUCUCGUUCGCGCGCGUACGUAUGGAUGUGGCCCGCUUUUUGUUUUUGGCGAAUGCUUAGAAGCUUCAAGUUGCGGACACUGCGGUGGGCCAGGGCUUAAUGACAUUUGUUGCCCAGCUGCUGGUGAUACCGCGACGUACUUGGAGCAACGCUUCUGCUUAUUUCCUCUGCCUGCACCUUAUAUUUGUUGUGUUUAUCGAGACCUGGCCUGUCUCUGCCUCGUUGAAGACAAAUGGACACAAGUA
RNAcentral lists this long non-coding RNA (246 nucleotides) under Dermacentor andersoni. Its description in RNAcentral is "uncharacterized LOC126536726". The record is from RNAcentral. Lineage: Eukaryota; Metazoa; Arthropoda; Arachnida; Ixodida; Ixodidae.